Molecule: long non-coding RNA, 1217 nt
Organism: Pangasianodon hypophthalmus (striped catfish)
Lineage: Eukaryota; Metazoa; Chordata; Actinopteri; Siluriformes; Pangasiidae
Exons: 2
Source: RefSeq, a predicted model, not a curated record
AUAUAUCUCUAUAUCUCUGUCUCUCUCUGUGUGUGUGUGUGUGUGUAAUAAAGUUUAGCAGUGUGACGUACGCUCUCACACAGACCCCUGACUCAGCACCUCAGAAUCAUAAUCAACCCAGCAUUCAUAACGUGUGUGUGUGUGUGUGUGUACUCAAAUGCUCAGCAAUUUGUUUAAUUACUCUUUCAUUCACAUAUUCACAGAGAGAGAGGGAGGGAGGGAGCGAGACUGAUCCUGCUCCUGGGUCUGAUGCUGCUCCUGGGUCUGAUCCUGCUCCUGGGUCUGAUGCUGCUCCUGGGUCUAGUUCUGCUGCUGUUGUGCGUUGGUUCGAGCUCGAGACAAACACGAGCGCAGGUUUUCAUAUCACACUCGUGAGAAACCCGAGACCUGAGGCUCUGAUGAUCUGAGAUGUGGCGUCCUGGAGAAACCCUGCAGCGCCGGAGGAGUCGUGAUGGAGAGAGUCAGUUCCGCACAUCUCUGUGGCUGAAGCAUGUCUGAAGAUAUCAGGCAUUAAACAGCGCCACCUGGUGUUCAGACAACCACAAUGACAUACAGAGCAACUGCUCAUCAUCUCAAAAACGGAUUCAGCUGGAGCCACUUCAGUCUACAUACUCAUCUCUUUUAAUAGAGCUUUACAUCGAGGAGAGAAAAGGAACAAAGGAACAUGAUUUGAGUUUGAAUCAAUACAUCAUUCUUUUUUUAUUUCUAAAAUUCUUAAAAUUUCCUCUUUGAUUGGAACAUCUGUCAGUUUGAAUUCCAGCUGUCACUGACAUCACAACGAGCUUCAGUCGACCAAUCAGCAGCUCCACUUCAAAUGCUUUAAACACACACAUUCACACUGUAGGAUUAUUUUUCAUUUCUUUCUGCUUUUCUCUCUCCAUCUGUAACUCCUCCUUUCUUCAUCUCUCUCUCUCUCCUUUUCUUCCUUUUCCUUUCUUUCCUGCAGAAAAUGAAAAUCUUUAUUUUUUUUUUUAUUUUACUGCUCAAACAAAAGGAGGAAACCCAGGCGACAGUAACCUGUUGUUUGUGUCAGUUUAUUGUUCUGUAGCGGAGUGUUACUGAGGAACACCGUGUGCAGUUUCACAAACAUGUAAACAAUAAUGCAGUAUUUUAACUUUAUAGAUCAAGUGUGAAAAUUCUGAGGAUCUCCAAUCACCACUACUGACAAUGUGAUGAAACAUUUUUCUUUAUUUUAUCGUAUGAUUUUUUUUUUUUAU